This 1379-nucleotide long non-coding RNA is filed under the name Medicago truncatula (barrel medic). Its description in RNAcentral is "long non-coding RNA (MTRU_LNC008900)". The record is from RNAcentral. Lineage: Eukaryota; Viridiplantae; Streptophyta; Magnoliopsida; Fabales; Fabaceae.
ACACAUAUAAUUAUAUUUGUUUAAAUUAUUAUCAAUAUGAAUGUGUCAAAGUCUAUAUCAUAUAUAAUGUCUAUGUUUGUGUCGUAUCCAAGAGGGCAAAAGAGCUAAUAGUGUACUCAUGCUUUCUCUUGCUUUAACUACAAUGAUUUCAAAUUGUGGUUGGAUCGGGUAAGAUUGUUUUACCUUUUGCUUUUAUAAUAAGAAAAGAAAAAUGACAAAGAUCAGAAGUUUGGAAGAAAGAAGGUACUUCUUGCGGUUAUUGCGUGGAAUUAUUUUUAGUAUAUAAUAAAAAGAGAAUGAAAAAAAUAAUGAUGAUUAUGAUUAUGAAAGAAAUAAAAACAAAAACUGAUCAAGGUGAGGUUUUGUAUCAUGGACUAGGAAAGCUGGCCUUCAGUAUCAUGUUCAUGGUCCCACCGCAAAACUUGUUGCAUGAAACAAAAUUAUAAGGGGGACAGGGAACUUGAGCAAAAAUUUCAUAUUUCUUUAAAUUAAAUUGAUCGGGUUGUAUUAAUAAUUAUAAAUAAAUACAUUUAUGGAGAGGAACAAUAUUUUUAAUUAAGGAUUCCAAGAAAUUAAUAUGUUGGCAAUGUAGGUUUGUUUAAUUGGUAAAAAUUUGAAUCACACAUCAAAAUGUGUGGGUUCAAUUUUAUUUUUAGUGUAAGUAUAUUAUUAAUGGACGAUUCUUAAAUACUCUAUAAACAUUGAGUGUCUGUGUCUUCUUGUGAUUUAACUCCCUUGAACUUUUAAUCAUAAAAAAAUUAAUAUGUUUCAUCUUUCAUUUCAAAAAAAUAAAAAUAAAAAAUGAAUAUUGCAUCUUAGAGUAUAUAAGAGUAAAUUCAACCUUUUAACUCAUCAUAGUGUCAUUUAACCUUCAAUUUUGUUAUGAUGCAGGGAUAAGUUUGGAUUAAAGAAUCAAUUGGCCAAACCAAAAUUUGAGGUGGGGAGAGAUUUGGAUUGGAUAUACCUCAUCUCAUAAAAUCCCUCACCUAACCCUAAUUUCGAGUUUUAGUUGUUGGAUCAUGAAGAUAAUUCAGGGAAUCAUCCACGUUGAAUCAAGAACAGUCAUACAAGUGAGUUGGACACUACAUAUUUAUUUAAAAUGUUAGGUUUAUGGGUUUUAAUUUUACACUUAUAUAUCGUUGAACAUUCACUUUUCAAUUUAAUGUGAGACUUUUACUAAAUUCUCCUAUCAGUUGUUAGUUUUUUUUCUUUUUUUACAAACAAAAUAUUCAAACUAAGAUCUACGUUAGUUUGGAUAGUAAUCUUAGGGUUGACAUAGACAAUUAAAUCUUCUACCCACACUACGUAUAACUGCAAUUUAAGUUCAAAGGUUUCUAGGGAUAGACUGCAUGUAAAUUUCAUCUAAAUUAUGAUUGAGG